Molecule: non-coding RNA, 30 nt
Filed under: Homo sapiens (human)
Lineage: Eukaryota; Metazoa; Chordata; Mammalia; Primates; Hominidae
Source: RNAcentral
UUGGUGGGCUCAGGCCAGCUGUUUGCGAGU